AGAGGAAGUAAAAGUCGUAACAAGGUUUCCGUAGGUGAACCUGCGGAAGGAUCAUUACCUAGAGUUGUAGGCUUUGCCUGCUAUCUCUUACCCAUGUCUUUUGAGUACCUUCGUUUCCUCGGCGGGUCCGCCCGCCGAUUGGACAUACUUAAACCCUUUGUAAUUGAAAUCAGCGUCUGAAAAACUUUUAAUAGUUACAACUUUCAACAACGGAUCUCUUGGUUCUGGCAUCGAUGAAGAACGCAGCGAAAUGCGAUAAGUAGUGUGAAUUGCAGAAUUCAGUGAAUCAUCGAAUCUUUGAACGCACAUUGCGCCCCUUGGUAUUCCAUGGGGCAUGCCUGUUCGAGCGUCAUUUGUACCUUCAAGCUUUGCUUGGUGUUGGGUGUUUGUCUCGCCUCUGCGCGCAGACUCGCCUCAAAACAAUUGGCAGCCGGCGUAUUGAUUUCGGAGCGCAGUACAUCUCGCGCUCUGCACUCAUAACGACGACGAUCCAAAAGUACAUUUUUACACUCUUGACCUCGGAUCAGGUAGGGAUACCCCGCUGAACUUAAGCAUAUCAAUA
This 562-nucleotide ribosomal RNA is filed under the name Phoma sp. P32E1. Its description in RNAcentral is "eukaryotic LSU rRNA". The stretch from base 199 to 352 matches the Rfam family "5.8S ribosomal RNA". Lineage: Eukaryota; Fungi; Ascomycota; Dothideomycetes; Pleosporales; Didymellaceae. The record is from RNAcentral.